Long non-coding RNA from Canis lupus familiaris (dog), 478 nucleotides. RefSeq lists it as uncharacterized. Lineage: Eukaryota; Metazoa; Chordata; Mammalia; Carnivora; Canidae. The record is from RefSeq and is a predicted model, not a curated record. The transcript is spliced from 2 exons.
CUGUUCCCCGUCCGAAUCACUGCUUCUGGGGAAAGUCAACAGUUUGCCAUGAGAACAUGUGAGCAGCCUGUAGAAACAAUCACCCAGUGAGAACCUGAGACCUCCUGCCAAUGACCAUCACCAACUUGCCAGCCACGUGGUCAGGCCACCUUGGAAAUGGAUCCUCAGCCUCACUCAAGUGCUCGGACGAAUGCAGUGCCAAUCAAAAUCUUGACUAUCCUCUUAUAGGAGAUCCUGAGAGAGAACCACCCAUAUAAGCCCCUAAUCUAGAGGAACUUGCAAAGGCUGGAUGUGCAUGCCUCUGCCACGUUGUAAGUCUGGGCUACAGGUUCUGGACUGAAACUGCUGACCAAUGUCACUUGGAAUUUAUUGAAGUUAUAAACAAAUGACUGUGCUGCAUGGACAAGAAAUGAUGGAGACGGAGCCUGGAUGUGCUGUGCUUUCUGUGCUGAUCAAAUAAAACGUGCAGCCAACUUCA